Molecule: ribosomal RNA, 500 nt
Filed under: uncultured bacterium
Lineage: Bacteria
Description: partial 16S ribosomal RNA
Rfam family: Bacterial small subunit ribosomal RNA
Source: RNAcentral
AUUGAACGCUGGCGGAAUGCUUUACACAUGCAAGUCGAACGGCAGCACGGACUUCGGUCUGGUGGCGAGUGGCGAACGGGUGAGUAAUGUAUCGGAACGUGCCCAGUCGUGGGGGAUAACGUAGUGAAAAUUACGCUAAUACCGCAUACGAUCUAUGGAUGAAAGCGGGGGAUCGCAAGACCUCGCGCGAUUGGAGCGGCCGAUAUCGGAUUAGGUAGUUGGUGGGGUAAAGGCCCUCCAAGCCAACGAUCUGUAGCUGGUCUGAGAGGACGACCAGCCACACUGGAACUGAGACACGGUCCAGACUCCUACGGGAGGCAGCAGUGGGGAAUUUUGGACAAUGGGCGAAAGCCUGGUCCAGCCAUUCCGCGUGCAGGAUGAAGGCCCUCGGGUUGUAAACUGCUUUUGUACAGAACGAAAAGGUUUCUACUAAUACUAGGAGCUCAUGACGGUACUGUAAGAAUAAGCACCGGCUAACUACGUGCCAGCCGCCGCCGUAA